AUUGAACGCUGGCGGCAGGCCUAACACAUGCAAGUCGAGCGGAUGAAGGGAGCUUGCUCCUGGAUUCAGCGGCGGACGGGUGAGUAAUGCCUAGGAAUCUGCCUGGCAGCGGGGGAUAACGUCCGGAAACGGGCGCUAAUACCGCAUUCGUCCUGAGGGAGAAAGUGGGGGAGCUUCGGACCUCACGCUAUCAGAUGAGCCUAGGUCGGAUUAGCUAGUUGGUGGGGUAACGGCCUACCAAGGCGACGAUCCGUAACUGGUCUGAGAGGAUGAUCAGUCACACUGGAACUGAGACACGGUCCAGACUCCUACGGGAGGCAGCAGUGGGGAAUAUUGGACAAUGGGCGAAAGCCUGAUCCAGCCAUGCCGCGUGUGUGAAGAAGGUCUUCGGAUUGUAAAGCACUUUAAGUUGGGAGGAAGGGCAGUAAGUUAAUACCUUGCUGUUUUGACGGUACCAACAGAAUAAGCACCGGCUAACUUCGUG
This 484-nucleotide ribosomal RNA is filed under the name uncultured bacterium. RNAcentral describes it as "partial 16S ribosomal RNA". It matches the Rfam family "Bacterial small subunit ribosomal RNA", at positions 30 to 507 of the family's 1533-position model. The record is from RNAcentral.